AUAGGAAUAAAUCUUUCUAGUAAUGUGUUGCAACUUUACUAUACAGGAUUUAUUCCUUUUG
Molecule: antisense RNA, 61 nt
Filed under: Streptococcus sp. DD10
Lineage: Bacteria; Bacillati; Bacillota; Bacilli; Lactobacillales; Streptococcaceae
Description: S. pyogenes antisense RNA 392987
Rfam family: S. pyogenes antisense RNA 392987
Source: Rfam by way of RNAcentral